UACAGAGGGGGCAAGCGUUAUUCGGAAUUAUUGGGCGUAAAGGGCGCGUAGGCGGCUCUUCAAGUGACGGGUGAAAUCCCUCGGCUUAACCGAGGAACUGCCUGUCAGACUGGAAGGCUUGAGACCGGGAGAGGUGAGUGGAAUUCCCAGUGUAGCGGUGAAAUGCGUAGAUAUUGGGAGGAACACCAGUGGCGAAGGCGGCUCACUGGACCGGAACUGACGCUGAGGCGCGAAAGCGUGGGGAGCAAACAGG
Molecule: ribosomal RNA, 253 nt
Filed under: uncultured bacterium
Lineage: Bacteria
Description: partial 16S ribosomal RNA
Rfam family: Bacterial small subunit ribosomal RNA
Source: RNAcentral